RNAcentral lists this ribosomal RNA (373 nucleotides) under uncultured bacterium. RNAcentral's name for it is "bacterial SSU rRNA". It matches the Rfam family "Bacterial small subunit ribosomal RNA", at positions 29 to 433 of the family's 1533-position model. The record is from RNAcentral.
AACGAACGCUGGCGGCAUGCCUAACACAUGCAAGUCGAACGCUCCGCAAGGGGAGUGGCGAACGGGUGAGUAACGCGUGGGAACCUGCCCAGUAGUUGGGGAUAACCGCGGGAAACUGCGGCUAAUACCGAAUACGCCCUAAGGGGAAAGAUUUAUCGCUAUUGGAGGGCCCGCGUCGGAUUAGCUGGUUGGUGAGGUAACGGCUCACCAAGGCGACGAUCCGUAGCUGGUCUGAGAGGAUGAUCAGCCACACUGGGACUUAGACACGGCCCAGACUCCUACGGGAGGCAGCAGUGGGGAAUAUUGGACAAUAGGGGCAACCCUGAUCCAGCAAUGCCGCGUGAGUGAUGAAGGCCUUAGGGUUGUAAAGCUC